CCAAGAAAUGUUUAUAAUUAGUUUUUUAAAAUGCACUCAGUUUGCUCAUUUCAUGCUUCUUAUUCAAGCAUACAUCAGUUGUAACUGAUAGACAUUAAACCUUUAAGUUGUUUUUAUACAACAUGAAUAUAUGCAUUAUCCUCGGAUAUAUUGUGUGAAUUAUUUAAGCAGAUUCUGACUAAAUGAAUACAGUUGUUGAUGCUUUAGUGUCACCUGUUCUGUGAUUAAUGAAUCCUUUGGGGGUCAAAUUAUUCCCUUGAGAGGUGAAAAGCUACACCAGCACCAAUUCUGUACUUGGUUUUAAGACAUGAGGCAUAACAUACAAUAAAGAAACCAUACUAAGAUAUCAAGCUAGUAUCUAUAUGAAAAGAGGAAAAUGUAUGCAUCUGAGACAAAAAAAACAGCUGAGGAAAUAAGACCAUACUCAAGCUGCAAGUACAGUCAAAAGAUGUUAGGAAAUGUGCAGCCUUGAUGGGGAGGAAGCAGCUUCUAAACCAUGUCUCAAGAAUUUUUCAUCUACAAAACAAUACCAAAAUUUCACUGUUAAAGGCCGAAGAACAGAGAGCUUAUGUGAGGAUUCAUGAUUUUAGAAAUGUCCAGGCUUAUUCCACAUUUGCACUGGGUCAGCUCCACUGACUCCACUCUCCUCAGCAAAGGCCUGCCAUCCCCUCUGGCUUGUACAUGUGUGGAGAAGGAUUCGUUUCCCAGCAGGACAGUGAGCCUAAACAUGCAGCGAAGCUCUAUACCAGGCCUGUUUGAUGUCCAAGGAGGACCAGAAAGGAGUGCUGACAUGCACAGCUUUCCCUCCACAAUUGCCAGACCUCGACAUCACUGAGCAUCUUUCUGAACAUAGGAAAAAGGCGAUUGAUGCCGUCUCUAAGACAUUGCUGGAAUAAUGUAAAAAAUCUAAUUUUACAAACAUGUGAGGCAUCAAUGCCAAGAAGAGAGAGCUUCAAGUUGACCUGAAGACCUCACCUACCUCUGGUUUUUCCUGACGUGUGGCUGCACACAGAGAGAAGACCCCGCAGUUCAGUGUGGAUGGACGGAUAGUUCAGCACUCUGGACAGCGCCUGAAACAAGAACACUGACCUGCAGGAGGAGAGGAAGUUGGGAGCUGUCUCCUCACUCACCUGCAAGCCUGAGCGCCGACAUCCGCUGGAACUC
This is a long non-coding RNA of Thunnus maccoyii (southern bluefin tuna), 1164 nucleotides long. RefSeq lists it as uncharacterized. The record is from RefSeq and is a predicted model, not a curated record. NCBI's taxonomy places the organism in Eukaryota, Metazoa, Chordata, Actinopteri, Scombriformes, Scombridae. The transcript has 4 exons.